Molecule: ribosomal RNA, 384 nt
Filed under: uncultured bacterium
Lineage: Bacteria
Description: bacterial SSU rRNA
Rfam family: Bacterial small subunit ribosomal RNA
Source: RNAcentral
AUUGAACGCUGGCGGCAUGCUUUACACAUGCAAGUCGAACGGCAGCGGGGGCUUCGGUCCGCCGGCGAGUGGCGAACGGGUGAGUAAUGCAUCGGAACGUGCCCAGUCGUGGGGGAUAACACAUCGAAAGAUGUGCUAAUACCGCAUACGCCCUGAGGGGGAAAGUGGGGGAUCUUCGGACCUCACGUGAUUGGAGCGGCCGAUGUCAGAUUAGCUAGUUGGUGAGGUAAAGGCUCACCAAGGCGACGAUCUGUAGCGGGUCUGAGAGGAUGAUCCGCCACACUGGGACUGAGACACGGCCCAGACUCCUACGGGAGGCAGCAGUGGGGAAUUUUGGACAAUGGGGGCAACCCUGAUCCAGCCAUGCCGCGUGAGUGAAGAAGG